Molecule: ribosomal RNA, 253 nt
Filed under: uncultured bacterium
Lineage: Bacteria
Description: partial 16S ribosomal RNA
Rfam family: Bacterial small subunit ribosomal RNA
Source: RNAcentral
UACAGAGGGGGCCAGCGUUAUUCGGAAUCAUUGGGCGUAAAGGGCGCGUAGGCGGCCGAUCAAGUCGGAGGUGAAAUCCCUCGGCUCAACUGAGGAAUUGCCUUCGAUACUGUUCAGCUUGAGUCCUGGAGAGGGUAGCGGAAUUCCCGGUGUAGCGGUGAAAUGCGCAGAUAUCAGGAGGAACACCGGUGGCGAAGGCGGAUCUCUGGGCCUUACCUGACGCUGAGGCGCGAAAGCUAGGGGAGCGAACAGG